GACGAACGCUGGCGGCGUGCUUAACACAUGCAAGUCGAGCGGUAAGGCCCUUUCGGGGGUACACGAGCGGCGAACGGGUGAGUAACACGUGGGUGACCUGCCCUCAGCUCUGGGAUAAGCCCGGGAAACUGGGUCUAAUACCGGAUAUGACUCCAUGACGCAUGUUGUGGGGUGGAAAGCCUUGUGCGGCUGAGGAUGGGCCCGCGGCCUAUCAGCUUGUUGGUGGGGUGAUGGCCACCAAGGCGACGACGGGUAGCCGGCCUGAGAGGGCGACCGGCCACACUGGGACUGAGAUACGGCCCAGACUCCUACGGGAGGGCAGCAGUGGGGAAUCUUGCGCAAUGGGCGGAAAGCCUGACGCAGCGACGCCGCGUGAGGGAUGACGGCCUCGG
This 392-nucleotide ribosomal RNA is filed under the name uncultured bacterium. RNAcentral describes it as "bacterial SSU rRNA". It matches the Rfam family "Bacterial small subunit ribosomal RNA", at positions 28 to 420 of the family's 1533-position model. The record is from RNAcentral.